Molecule: long non-coding RNA, 2523 nt
Filed under: Olea europaea subsp. europaea
Lineage: Eukaryota; Viridiplantae; Streptophyta; Magnoliopsida; Lamiales; Oleaceae
Source: RNAcentral
AAGUGUUCCUUUCACUUUUUCUUUUUCUAGAACAUUCAUUUUGUCUUUGGUUUUCUCAUUGUUUUUAGAUCUGAAAACUUCUUUUGUGGAUUUGAAUUUCAUUUUCAAGACAACUUCAAAAUUUGGUUAUGGAGUGAUGUUUUCCAAAACUUCAGAGUUAGCAGCGGUGGCAACUUCCACUUCGACGACGAAAAUUGCCACCUUGGUGCACCGUCUCCUCCUACCAAAUUCACCCACUUCUCUGCCUUGAGUUUUUUUAGAUAUGCUUGUUCUGGAGAAAAAUUCAAGGUGCUAGAUCUAAAGCUUUUUGUUUGUGCUUAUUAAUUUUGCAAUUCGUGCUCAAUGUUUUGUCGAAUUACGGAAGUUGGUAGUUUUUCAUGGGAUUUUAGUUGGUUAAAGGUACCACAUCAAUGACAAAAAGCCCUAAAUUUUCUUAGAAUUUGUUCAUGAAUUAGCGAAAAAGAUAAAACUCAUUUAUUAUUGGGUUUCAGUUUCGCUUUACUUUAUUGAUGCUUUCAAACAUCCUGAUUCACUUGAAGUAUGUUAAAAAAUAGGGUGUUUUCAUUCCAAUAUUUUGAUUCUGCUUGAAAAGCUCUUUUCUUGAUGUGCGAGCAUCAAUUUUUAUGCUUUGCAGCCUAUUUGGAGGAUUCUGCAAGUGUGCAAGCUGGGCUGUAACAUUUGAGCAAUAUCCUUCUUUAGGUAAUCGUGUUGUGCGUACUUUCAAAUCGACGUACCUACCAUAAUUGAAAAUGAAAACAUUAAGGACUAGAUAACAUAAUUCUUCUUCUCAAAUCUUUUGUAUGAAUCAGCUCUAUACUGUUUAAUUAUCACCACAAUAAACGAAAGCAAAGAAAUUCACAAGCAAUUAAUUUUAUAUCAUUCAAGUAUUUCCAUACCACAUAUUUGCUUUCUAUAUUAGAAUUUAUUGAAUGAGAAACAAUGCAUUAAACUCCAUGAAGGAGAAGAUGAAUUACACUCCAUGAAAGGAGGAAAUGAACAGCUCCAUAAAAGGAGGAGGACACUCCAUAAUAGGAUGAAAUGAAACCUCCAUGGAAGGAGGGAUUGGAGGACAAUCUAAUAGACUAAAAAUUCAUCCACGGUGCUGUAUUUAUAGAGCAAAAUGGCUAAAGUAAUUAACUAACUAAUUAGCUAAUUAACAAACUAAUCACUAACCAACUAACAACUAAGACAGCUGGACACAACCGUUUGGAAUCUGAUAUGUUGAGAUGGAAGUCUCUAGAAUUUGGUGCACACAUGAUGCUGGAAUCUGCUGAUGUUUGGUGCAUGUGUAUUCCAACAUUCUAUUCUUUAUCUAUGUCGUUUGAUUUUUGUUAAUUUUAAAGCAACAUUUAAAAUUCUCCAAAAGGGAUUGCUAUUAUGUUUCACAACCUUAUGUCGAUCAUAUUAUCUUUGUAGUGUACGCCAUAAAAAGGGUGUUGAAGUGAGUUUUUUCCUGUUGAGAUGAGCCAAUUAGUGGUAGAUUUAUAUGUGUUGUUGUGUAUGUAUUUUCGCAGUUUGUAUAAUAUAUCUGCAAGAACGUAGGAUUUGACUUUUGAAAAUAGCUCUGAUUCACCAUGUCUCAGAAACUGGUUUGACAUAUCCAGCAAGUGAGAAGUGAUACAAAAGUUGAGACAACAAUUAAAGAGAAAAGAAGAUAUGAUGCUAGAAAUACAAGAUCAAAUUGCAAAACUUUGAGACUCUCUGUGAAGUGCUUUUGUAUUCUUCCCAUCUACAAUAGCUGCUCGAUUCUACAAACAGGGAUCUGUUUGAUUCCAAAGGAAAAUAUAGAGAUUAAGAAAGGCAAUUGCAGAUAAUUAUGGGGGACAAAUGGUUUUUGGUGACAAUCCCCCUGCUGUACAUCUAGCCGAAGGAAGGAAUGGCCACACAAAUGGAUAUUCAUAUAACUGAGAAAACGUUUUGAAAAAAAAAUUCAAAGAUAAUUAUUUUUAGAACUGAAAAGUUAUAUGUUUGAAUUAAUUUUCAUGCUAUUAUAUUUAUUCAAGACACCUUUCGGUAAGCUUCCAAGAUUGAGCUUCUUUGUUCAUCUUUAGUAAUUAACUGAUGACUGUAGGUGUUUAGUCAAAAAUGCUUGUUUGGUUUUGCCGUUCUUAAUUAAUCUUCAGAUUCGAUUGAUUUUCUUGAUUUUUGGUUUUUUUUUUUUCAUUAGUAAGCAAAAAGAAAAAAAAAAAAUUUGUUGUUCUGAUUAUAUGUCGUAAUUUAUUGUAUCUAUUUAAUGAGUUAAACCAGGUGGUAUUACCUAAUUGUUUCUACGCACAAUUGAAAAACAAUGUAAUUUCGUUCUUCACAUGUCCUAUUACUAAAUAGUAUUUGCACUUUAGCGACAUGAGUUUUUUGUUGAUUUGCUUGAAGUGAGAUGUGUUUGAUGUUACAGGUGCCUUCCAGAAUUUCAGGGACUACAUCAAAUUUUUUUCAUUAAUAAACUCGAGAUCUAAUAUAAACAACCCAAUUUCCUGCAAUUUAUUAAGGAAGUUAAGGAUAUGGAUCUGGAUUUAUGGUAUUUUG